RNAcentral lists this RNase P RNA (361 nucleotides) under human gut metagenome. RNAcentral describes it as "Bacterial RNase P class A". It matches the Rfam family "Bacterial RNase P class A". From Rfam's summary of the family: Ribonuclease P (RNase P) is a ubiquitous endoribonuclease, found in archaea, bacteria and eukarya as well as chloroplasts and mitochondria. Its best characterised activity is the generation of mature 5'-ends of tRNAs by cleaving the 5'-leader elements of precursor-tRNAs. The record is from RNAcentral.
GCAAGCUGGACAGCCGCGUGGCCAGGCCGAAAGGCCGUCCAUGAGGAAAGUCCGGGCUCCAUAGGGCAAGGAUAACGGGUAACGCCCGCCGAAGGCGACUUUAGGACAAGUGCAACAGAGAUAUACCGCCCGGCUUCUGUCGGGUAAGGGUGGAAAGGUGAGGUAAGAGCUCACCGGCUGACCGGGAACGGCUCAGUCCUGUAAACUCUAUCCGGAGCAACACCGUGGAGGGGAAUAUGACCGGCCCGGUCUCCCCGGGGAGGUGGCUAGCAGGUUUUUUAAUGGAAAACUGUCUGCACUGGCAACAGGGCGCCUAGAUAGAUGGCUGUCUAUAACAGAACCCGGCUUACAGGCUUACUUG